This 3554-nucleotide unclassified non-coding RNA is filed under the name Nilaparvata lugens (brown planthopper). RNAcentral's name for it is "histone acetyltransferase KAT7, transcript variant X1". The record is from RNAcentral. Lineage: Eukaryota; Metazoa; Arthropoda; Insecta; Hemiptera; Delphacidae.
UUUCUUCAAGUCUUGUUUGUUGAUUCAGUGCAGCUGUUUGAAUUGGGAAGCUGUCUGUAAUUUUGUGUCAUUCUCAAAUAAUUAUUCUAUUUUAAAAGCAAAAUCUUUCUUUUGGAAAAAAAUAUUUAUUGUGCGAAGUAUUCUUCUAAAGAAUUUGUAUCGACACUGAUACAACUUUUAUAAUAUUAUAUUCGUAAUAACCCUGUAUGGCUAUCAAAACGUUUUUAGAGUUCAGUUCAGAGUAUGGAAUCUUGAGCUUAAAUCUCAUUACGCUAUAAUAUAUUUCCAGAAUUACUCAUCUUAAAUCCUCUUUUUCUUGUUAUUGAGUUUUUUCAUAGCAAUGACUUCAAAGAAAAAAGAAGCAGCAGCAGCUGCGGCGGCAUCCAGCUCAGACUCGUCAUCAAGCAAUACAUCGUCAUCAUCAUCGACGUCGUCGACAUCAUCCGGAUCCGACUCGAGUUCAUCCGACUCUGACAAUUCAUCAACAAGCGCCAACAAGAGUGCAGCCGUCUCCACCGACUCAGAUUCAAAGAAAAAGACAGCCCCGGCUAAGAAGAAAGUCAAUCCACCCCCCGCAAACAAGACUAAAACAGAAACUAAGAAUGAACCAGUCGCUUCCAGUGAAGUGGUACCACCGCAAAAGAACGUCAAGGAGAAAGUGGUGCCGAAAAGCAAGCAGAUAGCUCAACAGAAAGUAUCUGCCGUUUAUUCGUCAGAAUCAGAUGAUGGUAAUGCAAACACAAAGACUAAUACUAAACGCAAAUCUCCGACCAAACCGAAAGCAUCAGCUACAGUAACACCUGUCACGAAAACUGCCAGACCUGCUCCCAGAGUUCUAGCCAAAAAGCCUGUGGCGGUCGUCAAAUCAAACACUAAGGCCUCCAAUGUGAAGGAUACAAAGUCCAAGAUUGAAGCGCAGAAAAAGUCGAAGACCAAGAGUAUUUUCAGCCCGGACAACAGUAGUGAAAGUGACGGCCACAACGCUACUCCACCUCCGCCCAAGUUGACUGCCAUGAAGACGGUGGCAACUAGCAAGGCGGCCGCAGCUAUCAAGGCCAAGCCCAAGGGCAAGAAGGAAUCCAUGUCCACUUCCGACAAGUCCAGGGCCAGUUCCGUCUCAUCCAACUCUUCUCAAGGCAGUGGUGCAUCUUCAGGCAGCAGUUCGGAUUCGGACUCGAGUGGGGGCGAAUCGGCGACCACCAGCCGAGUGAAAACAGCGUCGUCGCCGGCGAAGAGUCGCUGUGUAGGCCGGCCGAGAAAGACGCCGCCUGCAGCUGCCUCCGCCUCCGCUGCCUCCGCCCCCGAUCAAGGAAGCGGUAGCGAGCCACCAGUAGCCGCCUCCGCCAUUCUGACGCGCAAGCUGACGCGCUCGGUCAGCGCACGCGGCAGAAGCAAACAUCUCACCGGUCGAACUGCCAGUGAUUCCGAGUCUGAAGCAGAAUCAAAGUCUACGUUGACCAAGUCGCCGGUGAAGAAGGGGGCAGGCCCCAAGGGGCCGGCGUCGCAGCGCAAGCCGAAAGGGGCACGAGGCUCGGCCGAGUCUGGCCAAUCGCUGCUCAACGAGGUACGCAAGUGUCCCGUCGAUGGUUGCGAUUCGUCCGGCCAUCUCUGCGGCAAACUCGACAAGCACUUCACCAUUGAGGCGUGUCCCGUCUACCAUAAUCGAACGCCUCAGGCUUGUAAAGAAGCAGUUAUUGAGCGAAAGAAACGCGAAGAAGAGCGCAAAAAAGCAAUAGCGAUGCUGAAGCCGACGCAUGCAAGCAACCCGACGCCAGAGCAGAAGGCUUACCGCCAGAAAGUCAAAGAACUGAAGUCGGUGCACGAAGAGGGCAGCAGCGGCAGUGAACGAGAGAGAAACAACAACAAUAACAACAAUCCGAACAAAGAGAAAGAACCUCUGCUCUACAAAUUCGCCCCCAAAUAUGAUCUGAAAAUGUUCCAGGAGGCUCAGGCUAUUGUUAGUGAGAGCAUUGAGGAAGAACUAUCAAAACUGCCUAGUACAAAGGGAACAAAGUACAUUGAGAUGGGCAAGUUUGAGAUGGAAGUCUGGUACCAAAGUCCUUACCCUGAUGACUAUGCUCGCUUGCCCAAGCUGUAUCUGUGCGAGUACUGCCUCAGGUACAUGAAAAGUCGAGCGAUUCUCAACAGGCAUGCGGUCAAAUGUGUGUGGCGACAUCCUCCAGGCGAAGAGGUUUACAGGAAAGAUAAAAUAUCAGUAUGGGAAGUUGAUGGCAAGCGUUACAAGCCCUACUCACAAAACCUGUGUCUUCUGGCCAAGUUCUUCCUCGAUCACAAGACGCUGUACUAUGAUGUUGAGCCGUUUCUCUUCUACGUCAUGACCAUCAAUGACAACGAAGGAUGUCAUACGGUCGGAUACUUCAGCAAGGAAAAGAACUCGUUCCUCAACUACAACGUUUCGUGUAUACUCACGCUGCCACCAUAUCAAAGGCAGGGAUAUGGCCGACUACUCAUCGACUUCAGUUAUCUUCUUACACGGGUUGAAGGAAAAAUUGGUUCACCGGAAAAGCCACUAUCAGAUUUAGGUUUGAUCUCAUACCGGAGCUAUUGGAAAGAUGUUCUUCUUGAAUACCUGUGCAACUUGGGUGGAAAGCAGUUAUCUGUGAAAGAUAUCAGUCAAGAAAUGGCGAUCAAUUCCUACGACAUUGUCAGCACACUUCAAGCUCUCGGCAUGAUGAAAUAUUGGAAGGGAAAGCAUAUUAUCCUGAAAAAACAGGAUGUGAUUGAAGAAUACGUGGAAAGAUCGAAGAAACGAGGCCUGGUUUACAAAGAAAUCGAUCCCAGCUGUCUGAGGUGGACUCCAUUUGUACCCCCCUCUCCAUCCACUGCUUCAUGAAGAACCCCUUCGGCACAAGGUGAUGUGUAAAAUGAUGCUUCAUCUCUGUGCCAACUCAUCUGCUCAACAUCUUCAUCUGUGAAUGAAUUAAUCACGCUUAUAUCCGUUUCGCUUUGAACUCACACCAGAUGUAGAUGACAGGAUGAGAUUUUUUCAAACAGAAACAUUUUGAUUUCUAUCUGGAAAACUGGAAAUGUGAAAGCUUCUCACCAAUGUAUUCAGUCCGAGGCACCGGCUGGGUGGACAGGUCAUAGUAGCAGUGAUCAAAUGUAAUAGUAUUUCAUGUUUUCAUGACAACUCCAAGAAAUUAUGUGUAUUUUUACAUGUUGACGUUUCACCUGAUCAUAUCAACAAUACCUUAAUGAGUUGUAUGAAUGUUUGAUAAUGAGUAUUAAAAUCUAUGUAAUAAUAUUGUUGAAAAGAGACACAGUCAAUCCCUUUAAAUUUACCUUUUCACUUAUUUAACACCCAUACAAUAACCCACAACCUAUUAGCAAAUAGUUAUACAAUAUUGUUAUAAAAGGAAAAAAUAUUUUACGGUUGAAGCCAUAAAGUACUAUAAAUUUAUAAAGUACUGUAUGUUGUAAGAUUUUUUUAAUCCGUUUAGAUAAUUUUGAAAUUUUUACAGGGUUUGAAGAUUUUUGUUGGAGAUUUUUACUAAACUAAGAUGAAUAUAUCGAUGUAUGUAGUUCUAUGAAAU